Oreochromis aureus is the source of this 2042-nucleotide long non-coding RNA. RefSeq lists it as uncharacterized. NCBI's taxonomy places the organism in Eukaryota, Metazoa, Chordata, Actinopteri, Cichliformes, Cichlidae. The record is from RefSeq and is a predicted model, not a curated record. The transcript is spliced from 5 exons.
GUGACAAUCAGAGAUUCAGCCUUCUAGAUUCUUCGAAGAGCCUUCACACCGCAACCACUGAAACAUCAAGAAUCCGAGAUGCUGAUUCAUUUAAAGCUGGAGGACAAACAGCUGACGAGGCGUCUGCAACAUCCCUGAAAAGGAGUACAGGAAAUAGUGGGGACUGAGCAAGUUUGGAGAAGGCCGCCCCCUGCCGCCACUGAGGACAACUACACUAAUACAGACAAGAGCGCCUCAAACAGUUACACACUCAAGAGUUGGGGUUUUUGCCGUAUGCAACUAGCUACCAUCUCCAAUGCUUGUGCAAAACAGAAAAACUGGUAAGUCAGGAGCCGGACGAAAAAGGGGGGUGAACGGUGUGCCGAGAGCCGGAGAGACCCGGGACGAUGAAAAGAGAAAGGAGGAUCGGAUCACCUCGCCCACAGAGCCUCUCACCUCGACACACUGAGGUCAGAAAAAUCACACAUGUUGCUUAAAGUUCAAGUCACCAUAUUUUUUUUUUUUUUUUUGUCUUAGAAGUGGUUGUCUUAUACAUAGUCCUUUGUUUGUCAGUUCCUCAGUGGCACUUUAUAAAUACAUUUUUGACCAUUUUUGAAAAUUUCAAGCUCCUUUGGUUUUUGGCUGACCAACUAAGUCCGUGUCAUUUGAUUUCUCCACACAAAAGUCUUAAAAUUGGGACAUCCCGGGAAAGAAGUGCUACUCUCACAACAGAGCCUCUUUAGGUAGCACACGCUGUAUUGAAUCAUUCUUGUUUUUAUUGAUCAAGCAGUUUCUUACCCAGUGCAUUUCAGUCAGCUCUUCCCUUUACCUCCUCCGUUGUUGGCGUAGAAAUCUGGGCAGUCAGGAUGUUGGGUAGCUGCUGAGUGUGUGUGCGUUUUGUGUGCAUGUGUGUGCUUUGAUAGACCGUCGCAGCGGCGACACAAGGUUGGAAGUGGCAAGAGCCAGGCAAAGACUGCUACUGGUGUUUGGAUUAGCAGUCAAAACACUGUCUUCCAGAGUUGGUUGUGUGCUUUUUCUUUUUUUCUGUUUUUUACAAAGGAUCCAACUUGGGCGGGGGCUCCAGGGUUUCAUCUAAUAGCUUAAUUUUGCAGUAGCUAUAUAAGCCAAAUGGAAGCAGAAAUCAUGAGCGCUUUCUUAAAUGUAUGCUGGGGCAGAUAAAAAUGUGUGCAUGUUGCAAAGGGCUAUAGGCUGGGGAUGCUCUGGUUUGUAAAGUUCAUCAUGGUUCAGUAAAGGAAAAGUUCAGAGAAGCGAUAAUCCUUCCCUUCCCCCAUCAGUCUUUUUCUUAAAUACAACUCCAGCUACAUUAAAGAACACAAGAACAUUCUAGGCUUGCCUGGAUUUGCCCCAGAUUUCACGGAUAUGUAUGCUUUGCUUGAAGGUACAGUGUAAACUUGGCAAACCAUCCUUGCAUUAAUUUUCUUCAGAGGUGUUCAUUUGGCUUGCAGUCAUCAGUGUUGAUGCUUCCUCUUGAUUCUGUAUAUUUAAUAUAGAACUACAAUAAACUGAACUCUAGAGAUGGUUUUAUUUUAACUAUCCUAUUCUGAAAAGUUCUCAACAAAAUGGACACCCAACAUUGUGGUUUUUAAAGAAUUACCUAUCGGUGUAAAUUCUUGAAGGCAACAUAAAAAUGUUUUUCCCCUCUUUCCUUCCAACAGGGGGGAUCGACACAUUGCCAAUAUGGCCAGCUUUCAAGCAAUCACCCCUUGAAGCUUCUCUGUGGUGAAGCUGAGGGAUCCCCCACAUUGCACUGUGGGAAACGCCAACCUCAGCUCCGGGCCACCCCUCGCAUAAAUUCAGGAGACCAGAGAGAGAGAGCCACACAAUCCCGAGCCUGAAGCUCCUCAUUUGGUUCCACCCAUUCAAGCACAUAUAUUCUCAUCCUGAGGCUUGCUUUGCAACGACGCUACAGCCACAUAAAUACUCGGAACCACUUCACAGUACCCCAUCUUUUAUUCAGGACCUCUUUGCCUCCCCUGCUGACAAAUAAAUUUAAUAAAACUUCCAUUUUAACAAAUUACCGGCUUCUGCUGCCUGCAACUCUC